AGAACCAGCUGAAUUCCUUUUGGGGCCACAGGGUUGCUGGAGCCUUUCCUGGUGAUCCCAGAAGGCAGCAGUGUGCAGCUUUUGAGAACACUUUAAUCUGCACUCCAGUCGGACAUGUGGGACGUGGCCUUGCCCCCGCGUCACCCCCAGCAGAGUCUCUGAGGAUUGACGCGGAUCGCUCGCAGAUCGCACAGGAAAUAGACCAGACACCAGAACCAUCAGCUGCAUGGCGCGCCUGGUGUGACCUACACCAUAGGCCUCCAUUGUGCAUCCAGUGUGGACCUAGUGAUGUUACUCUGUAAAAUAGAUUAUUUGUAUACACAAUACUUCUGUAUAAAAACACUUUUAUUGGUGACAUUUGUCUAAAAAUGGUCUUGAUUCAUCUCUAACUGAUGUGGAUGAAUUUAGUCUUUGUGAUGCCCAAAAUCAUAAAACAAUCAAAGCUAAAAUGGAAUGGGAUUUAUUUCUGUGUCCUGAACAGAAUUUAUAUUCCGUCAACAAGUGAUCACUGCUAAAUGAUCCAGAUGGGUCAGAUGUCCCUCAGGCCCCGGCUGAGACCUGUGCCUCCUCUUCCUCCUGAGCCUUGAAGCCUGCUAGGGGACGCGUGGGGCCUUUUGUGUGCGCAGCAUGGGAGGCCGCAGACGCCCCUCCCAAGAGACACAGCGGAGGUUAAUGAUCUCACAGCCUCUGCUAAAAUAAAUAAAUCACUUCCAGCCGGGGCUGCGCAUAAAUCUUUCGUCAAACGGCGAUUUGCUGUAGCAAGCACCACCAGUUGCUAAUGACUGUUUUUUUCCUCAGCGCCUGAUUGCCUGAGGGGGUGGGCUGUGACACAGAUGAGUUCCUUCCCUCACUCUCGACUCUCACCUUUCCUCCCCCACGGCUCUCCCACACACACACAGUCUUCAUUGCUAUUGUAAUUCUCAGCGUGUUUUGUCAGGGGACAUUAGCUGGCUGACAGGCGUCUGGUUAGGAUGGGGGGAGCAUUUGUAGUGACAGUGGUUGUUGUUUCAUGUUUGAGCUGAGCUGAUAGUCGGAGACGUGUGUGUGUGUGUGUGUGUGUGUGUGGUGAGGUACGACUGUCAUACACAACAUCACACAUAGCGUAACACGAGGCCUCGCUCAAUCUACGUCUCCAUCAGCAAAUGCUUUUCCUCAAGAUUGCACAAUCAUAGACACAUAUUUUGAGAAUAAAAAAAAUACACAAACUAAAAAUGUUCACGAUAAUUCCGAAUUUAAAAUCAUGAACUGAACCUGCAGUUCGUUCUGAUUUCAACAAAUCUAUGUCAGCAGUUUUAUUGAUAUUAUCAUUCAAAACGUUGUAUGAGCGACUCAUAUUUAUCAGACUGAUUUUCUCUCUAAGUCAGGGGAGUCAAAUUAAAUCACACAAGGGGCCAAAAUCCAAAACACACUUUAGGUCGCGGGCUGAAUGGGAAAAACAUUAUUGAACACAAUAAAACUACAUUUUUAAAACUAAAACCGUAACUUUUUACCAUAAUUA
Long non-coding RNA from Oryzias melastigma (Indian medaka), 1498 nucleotides. RefSeq lists it as uncharacterized. Lineage: Eukaryota; Metazoa; Chordata; Actinopteri; Beloniformes; Adrianichthyidae. The transcript has 3 exons. The record is from RefSeq and is a predicted model, not a curated record.